Molecule: long non-coding RNA, 1762 nt
Organism: Daphnia pulex (common water flea)
Lineage: Eukaryota; Metazoa; Arthropoda; Branchiopoda; Diplostraca; Daphniidae
Exons: 4
Source: RefSeq, a predicted model, not a curated record
ACAAACGGCCCUUUUCAGGGCCACCAAUUUAUUCUAGAAAAAAGGAAUUUGCUAAAUGCUAUAUUUCGCACAUUAUUUCGUUUCUGACUGAGAGAAAAACUCGAUUACAAAUUUUACAUGUUAUUGUACAGAUUUAUAAAUAUCUUAAUCAAUGUCUGAAUUCAGUAUCAGUUUAUGAUCCACCUUGUUAAUUCAGGCAACCUUGCCCACUCCCCCUUAGCUCUAGUUGAAAUUCAACAUGGUCGCCGUUUGGCUUGUUGUUUGUUGGUUGCGGGUGGUGUGACAGCGAUUCUGUCGAUAAUUCUCAUUCUCACUGAUUCGGAUUUUUUUUGUUUAUUUUUAAUGGAAAAUAGCACCAAUCACUAGCACGAAGUAUCUGGUAUUUCAUUUUACCACGACACCUUUCGACCAACUUGAAAAAGAACUUGAAUGGCUGUAAAGAAGAGUUUACACCAAUUGAGAAAUGGUUUUCUUCAUUCUGAAGAUAAUUCCUUCAGCUGAAUGUUUCAUGUGACCUCGUGACUUCUGGUCGCUUGUGACAAAAUAAUCCAAUUCAAGCUGUGUUUUCCAAAAUUUUAGGAAAUUCUAUUUGCGAGAAUGCCAAAAUGUUCCAUCGGGAUAUUCGGCCACAUCAUCAACAAUCACAAGCUAUUCAAAUGUCUAUGCAUCACCUAUAUAUAUUCCAGUUCUCGUUUCACUGCCUUCACAAAUCAAUCAACCGGAGCCAGUGGAACGUUUGGAUUCAAAAGAAAGAGUUUCUCAGUUGGAAGAUCUAUAGCGGAUGCUGGAACUGCAGAAGAAGAUUCAGGAAUUGGAGAUUAGUUUGCAGGAAGCCAAAGCCAAACAGGCUGUUCCUCCCAGUGGAAUUAAAAGCCAGCAGGUCGUCAUCGACAAAUCGAUAUCUGCAGCUAUUUUUCACCGGAGCAAGAAGCCGAACUUUGUGUGUUCCUGACCUCAUCUUCUGUCUCUUCUAAAAUUCUGAAUGAAAUUGAUCUUCUGCAAGUCCGAUUGAGCAAUGUGAUCGCCUCAACCGGAGCUGUCGUUGUCAACCGUCGUCGAAUUGGAAAGAUAACCGAAAAUCCGCUCUCCUUGGCCUUGCAGCACAGUCGUCGAGGCUCGAUCGUUCGUCAAGAUGAUUCAACGAGAGGUUGAAGCCCUUUAAGCUGUCCAGCACCGCAAUUAUUAUUGGACUGCUCGGUCUUUGCACGGAUAACGAAUUGAGUGAUGGUGAAGCAUCGAUUAGAGUCUCGCUCAUCUUUGAAUUCGCCAACGGAAGGGCUCUUUUCGACUGUCUUUUCGGUGUCCAAGUAAAUAACAGCAAAUUAAAAUUAGACGUGAAUUAAAUUAUGCUGAUAGCUACACAAACGAUUCGCUCGCCAUCUCACCGCGAGGCUCUCCAUCUACUGCAUUCCACUCAGCAGAAGCCGGGCGGUUCAGUUAUGGUCCACUGCGACGUGAAAUCCACCAAUGUUUUACUGCAACGGGAUGACGAACGAAGAGUCGUUCGAGCUGUUUUGGCCGAUUUUGGUUUGGCAAGUUUUCAUUCGGAUCUCAACGAAAGUACGGCUCUGGCCUAGCAGCCGCGGUAGGUAACCACGGCUAUGUCGAUCCUUUGUAUGCAGAGAGUUCAACCUACAGACGGGCCGGCCGGUUUGCAUGUCCUUCACGCUUGAAGGUCGCGGGGAACAUAACGUGUAAAACUGUCAAUGCGGUGGUGUAGAGGUUGGGUGAGAAUUGGACAUGUUGCAUCAUUAUCAAGCAG